Molecule: ribosomal RNA, 689 nt
Filed under: uncultured Microbacteriaceae bacterium
Lineage: Bacteria; Bacillati; Actinomycetota; Actinomycetes; Micrococcales; Microbacteriaceae
Description: bacterial SSU rRNA
Rfam family: Bacterial small subunit ribosomal RNA
Source: RNAcentral
GUGGCGAACGGGUGAGUAACACGUGAGCAAUCUGCCCUUGACUCUGGGGUAACUGCGGGAAACUGUAGCUAAUACCGGAUACUUUCCUCGCUGGGCAUCCAGCGGGGAAGAAAGAAUUUCGGUCAAGGAUGAGCUCGCGGCCUAUCAGCUAGUUGGUGAGGUAAAGGCUCACCAAGGCGACGACGGGUAGCCGGCCUGAGAGGGUGACCGGCCACACUGGAACUGAGACACGGUCCAGACUCCUACGGGAGGCAGCAGUGGGGAAUAUUGCACAAUGGACGAAAGCCUGAUGCAGCAACGCCGCGUGAGGGAUGAAGGCCUUCGGGUUGUAAACCUCUUUUAGCAGGGAAGAAGCGAAAGUGACGGUACCUGCAGAAAAAGCACCGGCUAACUACGUGCCAGCAGCCGCGGUAAUACGUAGGGUGCAAGCGUUGUCCGGAAUUAUUGGGCGUAAAGAGCUCGUAGGCGGUUUGUCACGUCUGCUGUGAAAAUCCGAGGCUCAACCUCGGACUUGCAGUGGGUACGGGCAGGCUAGAGUGCGGUAGGGGAGAAGGGAAUUCCUGGUGUAGCGGUGGAAUGCGCAGAUAUCAGGAGGAACACCAAUGGCGAAGGCACUUCUCUGGGCCGUAACUGACGCUGAGGAGCGAAAGCGUGGGGAGCGAACAGGAUUAGAUACCCUGGUAGUCCAC